AGGACGAACGCUGGCGGCGUGCUUAACACAUGCAAGUCGAGCGGUAAGGCCCUUUCGGGGGUACACGAGCGGCGAACGGGUGAGUAACACGUGGGUGACCUGCCCUUAGCUCUGGGAUAAGCCUGGGAAACUGGGUCUAAUACCGGAUAUGACCUCGCGAUGCAUGUCGUGGGGUGGAAAGCCUUGUGCGGCUAGGGAUGGGCCCGCGGCCUAUCAGCUUGUUGGUGGGGUGAUGGCCUACCAAGGCGACGACGGGUAGCCGGCCUGAGAGGGCGACCGGCCACACUGGGACUGAGACACGGCCCAGACUCCUACGGGAGGCAGCAGUGGGGAAUCUUGCGCAAUGGGCGAAAGCCUGACGCAGCGACGCCGCGUGAGGGAUGACGGCCUUCGGUUGUAAACCUCUUUCAGCCCUGACGAAGCGAAAGUGACGGUAGGGCGAGAAGAAGCACCGGCCAACUACGCGCCAGCACGCCGCGGUAA
This 483-nucleotide ribosomal RNA is filed under the name uncultured bacterium. RNAcentral's name for it is "SSU rRNA". It matches the Rfam family "Bacterial small subunit ribosomal RNA", at positions 26 to 523 of the family's 1533-position model. The record is from RNAcentral.